CCGUGCUAGACGGGGAGCUAGCGGUGCCCUGUAACCCGAAAUCCGCUUAUGCGGGGUCGAAUUCCCUCCUGAGGGCGUCGGGUUACCUUUGAGGGCCCGGGACCACGGAAGGAUAGCUGGACACCAUGCAACAGACGGAUACGAACCCCGUCAGGUCCGGGAGGAAGCAGCGGUAAGUAUUGCGGUCUGUGUCAUGGUUGACUCUAGCCUUACCGACCGUGGUAACGACCUCAUAGUUGUAACCGGCUCGAAGGCGGGUGCACGG
Molecule: signal recognition particle RNA, 265 nt
Filed under: Deltaproteobacteria bacterium
Lineage: Bacteria; Pseudomonadati; Myxococcota; Myxococcia
Description: signal recognition particle sRNA large type
Rfam family: Bacterial large signal recognition particle RNA
About the family: The signal recognition particle (SRP) is a universally conserved ribonucleoprotein involved in the co-translational targeting of proteins to membranes. Archaeal SRP consists of a 7S RNA and homologues of the eukaryotic SRP19 and SRP54 proteins. In most bacteria, the SRP consists of a 4.5S RNA and the Ffh protein (a homologue of the eukaryotic SRP54 protein).
Source: RNAcentral